Molecule: ribosomal RNA, 208 nt
Filed under: Encrasicholina heteroloba (shorthead anchovy)
Lineage: Eukaryota; Metazoa; Chordata; Actinopteri; Clupeiformes; Engraulidae
Description: partial 16S ribosomal RNA
Source: RNAcentral
GCCACAAAGCUAGCUCAAACACAACAAAAAAAUUUAUACUAUAUAUUAUUAUAAACAAACCUAAACAAAAAAAUCAAAUCAUUUGACCCUCCCAGUACGGGCGACGGAAAAGAGUCUCCUGAAGCAAUAAAGAAAGUACCGCAAGGGAAAGCUGAAAAAGAAAUGAAACAACCCGUAAAAGCAAAGAAAAGCAAAGAUUAAACCUUGU